GCAUGACAGCUUGGAUUUUUGAAGAAGGCUGCUGAAGGGCUGAGCUUUUCCUGUUCUCUUUAGAAGGUGAGCUGAACUGCAUUUAGAAGCCUUUAUGUGAUGUUUUAUUAAUCCCAUGAGUCUACUUGCACAAUAUUUAUGUCCUUUGGCUUCGUGACACUUUUAUGGUGACCACACAAGGGACCAUGUUGCUACACACUAGUCAUUUCAGGGUUUGUUCUGCCAGAGAUAUCCCAAGGUUUGUAUUACAUUGCUUUAAGAAUGGCUUUUGGGACACAUGAAACACCUUUUCUUGCAAUCAGUCACACCUUUCAUGUGUGCCUUUACAAAGCUAAUCAGCAGCUGCAUUUGUUUCUUCUCUCCAAAACACCCUUCUCCAUCUUGACCUAGGUGUUCCUUGCAUGAAUAUUCAUAAAUUUGAUAUUAAUUAAGUGUGAGAGAUGUACUCUCUUCUAUUAUCUGAGGUUCUGUCUUCUCUUCAUGUCUGCAGCAUGCUGACUUUAUAAUCUUCCCCCUCAAAGAAGUGAAAGGAUAAAUGAGUAAAUACAGACACUCGUGUAAAAGCUGGUGCCACAUGUUGCCUGGAGACUAAUAGCUGUCAGAGCUAAAAUAGCCAACCUGCUCUGGAGACGAGUGAUUAACAAAUAGGGACCUCAGGAAUAGGAAAAAGCACCAAGGGGAGGAGAUUAACUGAGCUCACAAGAGGAGCACAGGUUAAAUACUUAGUGAGGUGCAGGCUGAAGUCCCUGCAGUAAUCAUUGUUUUUAUUUAUUGCUGCUUAUUUUUGCUAUUUAUUGCUAUGCUGAUGAAAGAGUUUCUUUCCUUUCAAUUUUCUGUAUAAAUUGUGACAGCUUUGGAGGUUUUGGAUGCUCCUGAAGAUGUGCAUCAACAUCUGUCAUGCUUUUUCUGAAGAUAUUGCAGGAGCAGUUUCACAUAGCCGACAAAAUCCCAUCAAAGACGGAAAUUGUUUUCUUUAUGUGAGUGGCAAGGCAAUUACCGAGCUGAGUGACAUGGGUGGAGGAGUGCAUUUACACCAGAAGCUAUUGCUGCAGCAGAAACUACUGGCAGGAAAGCAGUGACUGACGUUCCUUGGCUUAUUAUUAUGGGCCUUGUAUAAAUGGAGUGGAAGCAAUGACUGUUACUGCGUUUCUAAUCAACAAAGUGUUAUGCCAGUAAUUAAGUUUCAACUGACUCGCAUCUCCUUUCUAGGCAUUAAUUGGAGGAAGAUAUGCAGAUUGCUGGUUAAUAAUAGAACAUUAUAUAGUUCUAUAAUCAUUUUCUUCAUGUUUAUCAAUUUGUUUGAUUGCUUGUGUGGCAAAUAUUUGAUCCUGUGUGUGUCUCUUUAGCCAUCAGACUGUUUAUAAACAUCAUUGUUUAUUGUGUUAGUGACAUCUUAAAGCUCUGCAACUUGCAGAGCCUAAUAGCAGCAAAUGUAGAACUUUAUUUUGCAAAAUAAAGUGAGGCCUUUCAAAGAAAACUCCA
RNAcentral lists this long non-coding RNA (1482 nucleotides) under Cyanistes caeruleus (blue tit). RNAcentral's name for it is "lncRNA (ENSCCEG00000012172.1)". Lineage: Eukaryota; Metazoa; Chordata; Aves; Passeriformes; Paridae. The record is from RNAcentral.